AUCCUCUCUUAACUUUCUCUGACUACCUCCAAUCUCUCAUCCUUCUCCUCAAACUGUGUUUCAAGGCAAAUUUCUCAGAGAUUGAGACAGUUUCAAUAUCUGAGCAAGCAAUCUUAAUCUCAAGUGUUUUGUGUAUAUUUAAGUGAUCCUAAAGCCUCCACUGUUUCACUGAUGUGUAAUUAUCUGAGAAAUUGAAAAGAAAUGUAAAGAAAAGAAAAUGGAAAUUCUAUUUCUGUUUUUACUUAGAAUGGUCAGAACACAGCAGGUAUCCAAGGAAAUGCUGAGUGGCCAACCUGAACAGUCUUUCAUAGAAAAUGUGGCCUUAGUAUAUUAGUACUUCUUUUAAGAAAUAUGAUGGAAUAUCUUUGGCCACAGACAUUUAAUGUUUCCUUUGGUCUUUUCACCUAAAGUCAAACCAGUUGCUAUGGUUUUGAAAUUGCUACUGAAAAUGUUUUUCACAUGCCCUUCCAACAUUGAAGACCCAGAUUACAAGCUAAAAUUCAAGCAAUUGAUUGGUACCUUUCUCAGAAGAGUAUGGGAACGUUUGAUACAUAUGUGCAUUAAAU
Molecule: long non-coding RNA, 566 nt
Filed under: Vulpes vulpes (red fox)
Lineage: Eukaryota; Metazoa; Chordata; Mammalia; Carnivora; Canidae
Description: lncRNA (ENSVVUG00000019102.1)
Source: RNAcentral